AUACGGAGGGUGCAAGCGUUGUUCGGAAUUAUUGGGCGUAAAGCGGAUGUAGGCGGUUUGUUAAGUCGGAUGCGAAAUCCCUGGGCUCAACCCAGGAACUGCAUUCGAUACUGGCAAACUAGAGUCUCGGAGGGGGUGGCGGAAUUCCCGGUGUAGAGGUGAAAUUCGUAGAUAUCGGGAGGAACACCAGUGGCGAAGGCGGCCACCUGGACGAUGACUGACGCUCAGAUCCGAAAGCGAGGGGAGCAAACAGGAUUAGAAACCCCAGUAGUCC
This 274-nucleotide ribosomal RNA is filed under the name uncultured bacterium. RNAcentral describes it as "partial 16S ribosomal RNA". It matches the Rfam family "Bacterial small subunit ribosomal RNA", at positions 523 to 796 of the family's 1533-position model. The record is from RNAcentral.